GUGGGGAAUAUUGCACAAUGGGGGAAACCCUGAUGCAGCGACGCCGCGUGGAGGAUGACGGCCUUCGGGUUGUAAACUCCUUUUGUCAGGGACAAUGGUGAUGGUACCUGACGAAUAAGCCACGGCUAACUCUGUGCCAGCAGCCGCGGUAAGACAGAGGUGGCGAGCGUUGUUCGGAAUUACUGGGCUUAAAGGGCGCGUAGGCGGUGGUGUAAGUCUGGGGUGGAAUGCUACAGCUCAACUGUAGAGCUGACUUGGAAACUGCAUUACUUGAGUCGGUGAGGGGAAGGCGGAAUUCCUGGUGUAGCGGUGAAAUGCGUAGAUAUCAGGAGGAAGGUCUGUGGCGAAGGCGGCCUUCUGGCACUUGACUGACGCUGAGGCGCGAAAGCGUGGGGAGCAAACAGGAUUAGAAACCCUAGUAGUCC
RNAcentral lists this ribosomal RNA (425 nucleotides) under uncultured bacterium. Its description in RNAcentral is "partial 16S ribosomal RNA". It matches the Rfam family "Bacterial small subunit ribosomal RNA", at positions 354 to 796 of the family's 1533-position model. The record is from RNAcentral.